Molecule: ribosomal RNA, 305 nt
Filed under: uncultured bacterium
Lineage: Bacteria
Description: bacterial SSU rRNA
Rfam family: Bacterial small subunit ribosomal RNA
Source: RNAcentral
GUCCUACGGGGGGCAGCAGUGAGGAAUAUUGGUCAAUGGCCGGAAGGCCGAACCAGCCAAGUCGCGUGAGGGACGACUGCCCUAUGGGUUGUAAACCUCUUUUAUAAGGGAAGAAUAAAUGCUACGUGUAGCAUGAUGCCUGUACCUUAUGAAUAAGCAUCGGCUAACUCCGUGCCAGCAGCCGCGGUAAUACGGAGGAUGCGAGCGUUAUCCGGAUUUAUUGGGUUUAAAGGGUGCGUAGGCGGUUUUUUAAGUUAGUGGUUAAACGUCGGGGCUUCACCUCACUACGCCAUUAAUACUGUAGA